RNAcentral lists this long non-coding RNA (241 nucleotides) under Hordeum vulgare. Its description in RNAcentral is "long non-coding RNA (HVUL_LNC005011)". Lineage: Eukaryota; Viridiplantae; Streptophyta; Magnoliopsida; Poales; Poaceae. The record is from RNAcentral.
GAAAAAUCGUUUCAGCCGCCGCAAGUUCCAGAUCCACAAAAACCAAUCUAGAGCCUACUCAAGUGAAGAACACGAUCGUGGAGGGGUUCACCAUCUUCAUUGGUUCUCCUCCCAUGAUGCGUGAGCAGUUCAUAUCAAACCAACGGGUCCAUAGGCAGUAGCUAGAUGGCUUUCUCUCUCGUUUUGUUCUCAAUAUAAUGGUCUCUUGGAGAUCCAUAUGAUGUAACUCUUUCUAUUGCGG